RNAcentral lists this long non-coding RNA (1547 nucleotides) under Setaria italica (foxtail millet). RNAcentral describes it as "long non-coding RNA (SITA_LNC004539)". Lineage: Eukaryota; Viridiplantae; Streptophyta; Magnoliopsida; Poales; Poaceae. The record is from RNAcentral.
UCCAGCAUGGCUCAUCCUCCGUCAUGGCUCAAAUUACAUCCCUGGUGCGAAGUCACAUGUUCUUCUCAAAGCUGUAGGCAUCUCCAUGUUUAUUACAGAUUAUUAAAAUUACGUACCAUAUCAAGAGGUAUCUCCAUUAGGCUUGGUUUAAUGGCUUAUCCGUCCUUUUAAGGUCCUCAUAGUGGCCAUCUCGUAUUGGAAUCCCUAGCACCGAUGUACUGAACUGUCAUCCACUGUGGCCAGUUCAUUUGCUUGUGCAUUCAGGGAUUGAUCGCUUCUCCGUUGCUGACCCACUAGCCAUCCGACAAGGUUUUCAACUGGAUAACGGUGAGCGGGUACUUGCUGCUUGGUGGGCCUAGCCACCAAAUCCACAGGCCAUCUGCAAAUAACACUUGCAGGUUAGUGGCAGCCGCAUAUCCCUCUAAAAAUCGUUGCGGCAGUUAGUGACGGUUUGUGGGUGUCCACAACCUGCACUGCCUGCAUCCCUAAUUGCAAAGGAUCACUCUUACACAUAAAAUAGAAACUAGCUUUGUACUAUUCCUAGCCACUCCCACCGUUCCAAAUUAAUAUUCAUUUUGGUUUUUAAUAAAUUUCAAUAACUUACCAAUAUCUUGAACCAAUAGUCACAAACUUGCCACACUUUGUGCAUAUUUCACAAAAUUCACUAGUAUUUUGGGUAGUCUUUCUUGCAAAAGUAUAACUUAUGACUUUUUCCCCUCUCAUGAACAAUUGAGCCCACCCAGCUGGUCAUAAACAUAUUGCUGACAUGUGGACCUUGUUGACAAUGAAUGGAAAUUGAACACAAAGUUGUAGUUUUGUGAGAAUGUAUCCCAAAAUAGUUGUGGGGUUUGUGAAAUGGGCACAAAUAUUAGAAAUCUGUGACUGACAGCUCAAAAUAUUUGUAGGUUUGUGAAAUUCACUUAUACUUUUUUGACGGUCGAUUAUUGCAUAUUUGCAUUUCUUUACUGCUCCUAUCCAUGCACAGCUAGCGUCUGCUAAGCCACUUCAGGCCCUAAAUUGUUGAGCUUGGCCACUAGUUAUCGUCAUCAUUUGCUACGUCCACUAACCUCUCAUGUAGGCUUCCUAAUCCAUAUUGCCCUCCAUGUCUACGCCACAAGCAGGGGUAGUGACAAAAAAUCUGAUAAGAGGGGUCAGAUAGUAACAAAUUGUCCUUAUUUCGUAGUUAGAAAUCCAUGUACGUAUAUAAGGUUCAUAUAGACUUUUCACCACGUCAGUUGUCCUUAUUUCGCCCAUGGAUUUUUUUUAUGGUGCUAAGACUCGGAUGCAGUGGCGGAUCCUUGAAGGAAGGAGGGGUUUAUUUUUUUUCCCUUCUUCCUCCUUCCUUUCUCUUCGUCCUCCUCUUCGCCACCAUGCUAGAUCCGGAUGUGACAGCUAAUUCGUUUCUGUCCAUUAAAAUUUUAAGAACCAGACGGCGUAUAACGCGCUAACCGUACCUUCUCUAUUUCAAUGGCAAGUGGACAUUUUUCCAUGGAUCGCACGUAGGCUGCCAAGUGUUUCAGAGUUCAUCAAAAACAUCGUCAGUGUAG